AAAAGGUAUAUUACAGUUGUAUUGUCUCUGUUGCUAUUAUAUUUAUCAGACCACGGUUGUGAGAAAUAUUUUUAUUUUCUUUAAUUGGGUACCGUUUGCGCGACAACGAGGACGUACGGCUUAUAAGGUCGUGGCACAACCGAUGGUCAAAUGUUCAUCUGUUGGAAUUACUCGUGUAUCUCGUUGAGGUGGGUGGUCGAGGAUUAUCUACAGAUACUGUCGAUGAUAGUCCGUUGAGUGGAGCUGUUAGACGAACUAUCAGAAGCACUAUGGUGGAUCUAAAUAUGCCACCUAUGGGUAGUCAGGAGGGGUGUAAUGUUGAAGUUCGUUAUGUUGACUUAAUAGACGACGGUGUUGAAAGUCAUGAUGGUUCUGCUAUCAGAGAUCCGAUGAUGGAUCAGUAUGAAGUUAACCCCGACGACGGAGACGAUGCUGAUGAAGAACCACCUAAAAUUCCUGAUGAUGGUGAUGAGGAAGAAGAGAUGAACUACUACGGUGACACACAAAUCGUCCUUACACAGCCUGUCAUUUCUUAACCAUAUGACCGACCGGAUCAUUUCACGAGGUUGAAUCUUGAUGCAAUGACUUUGAAUUGGUCAUUUACCCAAGGAGGCCCUGAAGAGGAUCCAAGCAACGAGUUUGAGGUUGGACAAUAAUUUAAGAACAAAGAAGAAGUCAUGUUGGCAGUUAAGCAGUACAGUAUCAAGAGGGCUGCGGAUUACAAAAUAGCAAAGAGUGACCAAUUGAGGUACAAUGCACAGUGUAUCCAGUUUGGACCCAGUUGUAAUUGGAGCAUACUCAUAUCAUAUCGCCAAAAGAAAGAAAAGUGGAAGGUUAGGAGAUACACUAGGACUCAUUCUUGCAUGCAAACUUCGAUGGGAUAAUACUAUGAUAGGUUGGAUUCGAAGGUGAUUGCACAACACAUUUUCACGAUGGUCAAAACCGAUCCAAUCAGCAUCAGGGUUAUCCAAGGAGGUGUAGAGAAUUACUUUGGUUACAAGGCGUCCUAUAGAAAGGUUUGGCUUGCAAAACAUAGUCAUUGUUAGAAUAUAUGGCGAUUGGGAAGAGUCAUACAACGAGCUUCCUCGUUGGUUAUUCGCUAUGCAGAUGUACGUGCCUGAUAAAAUUUAUUUCAAGUUUGGUUAUUCACUUUUAAAAAAUUCAGACGUGUACAAUAAGCCAACUAAUUAUGUCUCUUUAGGUACUUGGGUGCAACUAGUGACUCAGCCUUGG
Arachis ipaensis is the source of this 1233-nucleotide non-coding RNA. The record is from RefSeq and is a predicted model, not a curated record. Lineage: Eukaryota; Viridiplantae; Streptophyta; Magnoliopsida; Fabales; Fabaceae.